UUUUUAAUAUAAUUAUGUCUCAUGAAAUAUUUGUGACAUACUUAUAUUACAA
This 52-nucleotide microRNA precursor is filed under the name Tupaia belangeri chinensis (Chinese tree shrew). RNAcentral's name for it is "Tupaia chinensis (Chinese tree shrew) mir-1302 microRNA precursor family". It matches the Rfam family "mir-1302 microRNA precursor family". The record is from Rfam by way of RNAcentral. Lineage: Eukaryota; Metazoa; Chordata; Mammalia; Scandentia; Tupaiidae.